UACGGGGGGGGUAAGCGUUGUUCGGAAUUACUGGGCGUAAAGGGCUCGUAGGCGGCCAACUAAGUCGGACGUGAAAUCCCUCAGCUUAACUGGGGAACUGCGUCUGAUACUGGAAGGCUUGGAUUUGGGAGAGGGAUGCGGAAUUCCAGGUGUAGCGGUGAAAUGCGUAGAUAUCUGGAGGAACACCGGUGGCGAAGGCGGCAUCCUGGACCAACAUUGACGCUGAGGAGCGAAAGCCAGGGGAGCAAACGGG
This 253-nucleotide ribosomal RNA is filed under the name uncultured bacterium. RNAcentral describes it as "partial 16S ribosomal RNA". It matches the Rfam family "Bacterial small subunit ribosomal RNA", at positions 524 to 776 of the family's 1533-position model. The record is from RNAcentral.